AGUUGCAGCGGCCUGGCCACCUCAGGAGCACGCUGUCUCUUCCCGACGUGCAGCCCGGGGCCCGGCCCUGUCCCCGGGUGACUGCUCCCCGGCAGGACUGCACAUCUGUGGCGGCAGGCCCAGCUCAGGGCUCGGGGGAGGUUCGGCCUUGCCUUCAAAGAGCUCCCUCUCCUGCAGGGCGAGCGCAGAGCGGCGGGCGAGACCACACUGCGUGUGCUGAGGGCGCACUGGUCUUAGCGGGAGGGAAGCCUCACGAGCCUGUACACUUGGAGGAGCCCUAAGCGUUAGGAUCUGCUGCGAGGGCUGCCUGGAACGGAGGUGAGAGGAUACAAGUGGCCCGGGGCAAGCAUAGUGAAUCACUGGCUAAUCUGGCCUUCGAGGUAGUGAAAGGAAAAAAGGGAAAUGAAGCUGACUGUGGCUGAAUGUAGUAGGUCUUGAAGGCCAAAUGGGGCGAUCUGAUUUUUAUUCUAGAAGCAGAGGAGAAACUAAAGAUUUUUUUAGGAGACUAUAUUCAAGCUUGUAUCAUUAGUUCAUCAGACGUUUAUGGACCACCCACCGUCCGUGCACUCACGGGGCUUGCAGUCUAUCUGGCUGAAUCACUUUGGCAGCCAGUGUGAGGAGGGCACAGAAAGGAGACCAGGUGAGAAAGCCAGCCUGACCAAAGAAGAUGUGGCAACUGAUGGGAUUGGAGGAGGCGGACAAUGUCCUCCAGACAGCUGGACUGGCUCUCUAUAUAUUUAUUUAUCUCUUCUACACCUCCAGCCCCCACCUCCACACUCACUAACUGGACUCAACUAGUGGGGGCAAAGGACAGACUAGAUUUUAGUGAAAUGGAAUUUCUACCUCCAGCGGCCCCUGGAACAGUAGCACACAACGAUCUAACAACUGCUUGUAUGAUUGGAUGGUGUAAGUGCGGACAGAAUUAGGGAAUUUGGGCUACUCUGGGCACACUGCUUAUGGGGCAGCCCUGCUCCGCAAGGAAAAUAAACACAUUUUUUUAAAAAAAGGCCGGGCGCGGUGGCUCACGCCUGUAAUCCCAGCACUUUGGGAGGCCAAGGCAGGCGGAUCACGAGGUCAGGAGAUCGAGACCAUCCUGGCUAACACGGUGAAACCCCAUCUCUACUAAAAAUACAAAAAAUUAGCCGGGCGUGGUGGCGGGCGUCUGUAGUCCCAGCUACUCGGGAGACUGAGACAGAAUGGUGUGAACCCGGGAGGCAGAGCUUGCAGUGAGCCGAGAUCGCACCACUGCACUCCAGCCUGAGCAAUAGAGCAAGACUCUGUCUCAAAAAAAAAAAAAAAAAAAAAAAAAAGGCCGGGUGCGUUGGCUCACGCCUGUAAUCCCAGCACUUUGGGAGGCUGAGGCGGGCAGAUCACCUGAGGUCAGGAGUUUGAGAACAGCCUGGCCAACAUGGUGAAACCCCGUCUCUACUGAAAAUACAAAAAUUAGCCAGGCAUGGUGGCGCAAGCCUGUAAUCCCAGCUACUCGGGAGGCUGAGGCAGAAGAAUUGCUUGAACCUGGGAGGCGGAGGUUGCAGUGAGCCGAGAUCAAGCCACUGCACUCCAGCCUGGAGUGCAGGGCAAGACUCCGUCUCAAAAAAAAAAAAAAAAGGGAAUUCGGAGACCAGCCUGGGCAACACAGUGAAACCCCAUCUCUACUAAAAUACAUUUAAAAAAAAAUUAGCUGGGCAUGGUGGUGUGCGCCUGUUGUCCCAGCUACUUGGGAGGCUGAGGCAGGAGAAUUGCUUGAACCUGGGAGGCAGAGGGUGCAGUAAGCCGAGAUCAUGCCACUGCACUACAGCCUGGGCAACAGAGCAAGACUCGUCUCCAGAAAAAAAAAAAAAAAAAAAAAAGAUGUUCAUAAAUGGUAGGAUAGGCUGGGGAUGGAGGCUCACACCUGUAAUCCUAGCACUUUGUAAGGCUGAGGCAGGCAGAUCACUUGAGCUCACAAGUUCGAGCCUGGGCAACAUCGUGAGACCCCGGCUCUACAAAAAAUACAAAAAAUCAGCUGGGCAUGGUGAUGCAUGCCUAUAGUCCCAGCUACUCUGGAGGCUGAGGUGGGAGGAUGACUUGAGCCCAGGAAGUGGAGGUUGCAGUAAGCCAAGACUGCGCCACUGCACUCCAGUCUGAGUGAUAGAAACCUUGUCUCUAAAUAAAUAAAUAAAUAAAUAAAUAACUCCACAAAUGGUGGGAUAUAGCUAUGUGAAAGUUUAGUCCUAGAGUUUAGGUAAGAGGUCUGAGCCAAAGUACAGAUAUGACCCAGCCUAUUAGUACCCAUCCUUGAAAGGAAAUGGCAGAAUUCACUGUUUAAAAGGCUCCAACACUAAGGUCCUAACUGAUCUGGUCCCUGCCUUGUCCUCUCAUUCUACCUGUGACACUCUCCUGGGCCCCACCCAGUGCUUUAACCAUUCCCCGAGGAUGUCAGCAUCUUUCAUACCCCCCUCAACCCUCAAACCUUGCCCCCUGGCUCAGCACAAGGAACAGUCAGGUCUCCUAGGCAGUAAAUCACUCCCUCCUCUUGCUCCCACAAUUGUAAUUAUAUGCUUAUCUGCAUCGCAAAACUAUAAGCUCCUCUCAGCAUGGGCCAUGUUUUGUCAUCUCUGUAUCUCCAGCAUCUGGCCCGUUAUCUGGUACUCAGUUGGCCCUCUACCUUUGUUGAAUGAAUGUUAGUGUGAAUGGGAUGACGUGGGAAAGGAAGAGAGGCCAAGGGAACCAGAGUCAAGUGGAGAGGACAAUAAGAAUUAGAAAGCCUUUCCAUUUCCCUUGGGAACAGUAUCACUGAGUCCAUAAAUAUUUAUUGAAAGCCUGUGUUCCAGGUAUACUCUAAUGACUUCAGGUUCACACCUGACUCCAAAGCCAUGAGUUUAAAUGUUCCAAUUAGUACCUGUGUGACCUUAUGUAAGUUGCUGAACCUCUAUAAAAUUGGAGCAAUAAGAGUUCCUAUCUCAUAGGAUUGCUGUAAAGACUGAAAGAGAUAACACAUGUAAGGUGUUCAGCACUGUUUCUGUCUCAACAUUUAAUGGACAAGGUGGGAAAGUGCCCAAAGUAUCAGGAAGGUACAUACUUAUAUGUAGAUUCAUGAGCAUUCUUUUAAUAAUCUUUCCUAAACAGUUACUGUGUGCAAACCACUGUUGUGAGAGCACUAUUGAGAGAUUUUGGAUUAAAUGUCCAUCAUAAGAGUGCACUAGAGACAAAGCAGACUAUUAUAGAUGAUGAAACUGUCCCAGAGGCCAAACACAGCAGUGAUAGGAAACUUCAACUGUGUUUUUAUUUACCUGGACCACAUUUGUAAAUGACCAUGGCAGGCCCUCAAUAAAUGCUGACUGACUACAUGAAUGAACAUGCUCAAAGACAGUUGUUCAGCUCUUGUCCCAGGUUCUAUCAUACCCCUCUCCCCCUUCCUGAGUUUCUUUUGUUCAGUUUGGCAAACAGUGAAUGGAUGUUUGCCAAAUAUUUGAGGAUGCUCAAAUAUCUGAUAUAGACCACUUAGCCCCAAAUCCUACCAAAUGGCAUCUUCAUGGCCCUGGGGUUCCUGCAAAACACUCAGUCUGAUGGAAAAGACAGACAUAUAGAUGAGCAAUUAUAUAUGUGGUGAGUGUUCCCAUAGAGAUAAACCCAGAGGGUUAUGAAAGCACUGGGGUGCGGGGGCACCUUAACUCAGUAUGGAGGCUAAUUCUUAAAGGUGAUGCAAAAAUGACACUUAAUUGAGCAUUAAAGGUCACUUUCUAGGCCGCGUAAGGUGGCUCAUGCCUGUAAUCCCAGCACUUUAGGAGGCUGAGGUCGGUGGAUCACCUGAGGUCAGGAGUUCGAGACCAGACUGGCCAACAUGGUGAAACCCUGUCUCUACUAAAAAAUACACAAAAAUUAGCCAGGCCUGGUGGCAGGCGCCUGAAAUUCCAGCUACUCAGGAGGCUGAGGCAGGAGAACCACUUGAAGGCAGGAGGCGGAGGUUGCAGUGAGCUGAGGUUGUACCACUGCACUCCAGCCUGGGCGACAAGAGCGAGACUCCAUCUCAAAAAAAAAAAAAAGAAAGAAAAAAAAGGACACUUUCUAGGAAGCAGGGAAAGGCAUUCUAAGUGGAGCGAAGCAUGUAUGUGAAGGCAUAGAAGCAAGAGAUGUGGCGGGUUUGGGAACGCUAAGUAGUUUGGUAUGACUCCAGUUCAGAGGGCAUAUGGGAGGGCAAGAAAGGUAGGCAUGAGUCAGUUUAUGAAGAGCCUUGUAUGCCACAGCAAGAAGACUGGAUUUUAUUCUGUAUAUGUUUUUCAGCCCUGGCUGCAACUAGAAUCAACUGGGGAGCUUUUAAAAUAUCAGUGCCUGGCUCUCACCUCCAGAUUGAUGCUAGAUGGUUGUUCUUAAUGGGAAGAGGCCAAAGCAUGUUUAUAUGCUGUAUGGAGAGUGACAAUGGGAUCCAGCAUACACAUGAAGAGAGUAGCCUCUGGCUAAGGAGAACGGAAAUAGAGUAAGUUCGUCAGUGGAAUGGGAGGAAAUUGAGGGAGUUUUGUCUAAAGGAGUCUAUUUUUUCCUUCAGUCAGAUGUUAGGUAGUUGCUGAACAUGGGGGAUGGGUAGGUGAUGGGAUAAAGAAUUGUAGGGAAGUGGUUCACUCUGGAGUAACUGAUGAUGGAAUGCUGGGAAAGCUUAGUGAACAGCUAAGUGGAAGGCCCCACUGGGUGGGAGACCAUAAGGAGUGUACCAGUUUAGAAGGCUGUGAUGUUUUCCGCAGAGCUAAGUGAGUGGGAGUCAGGAGAGCAGAAAUAGGACCAUUUGGGAUCUGCAGGGAAGCGAGAUGGAAGGCCUUGCUUGGGAGAGGGUUCAGUGAAGGCUGAGUAGAUGAAACUAAACCAAGGGUACACUGAUAAACUGGAUAAACUGAAGAGGUCAAGGAACUCAUAGGUUUGAUAAGGAUGAAGGCCAGGUGUAGUGGGGAAAGAAAACCCAGUCCAACAACUAAAAUUCCAUCCAUUUCAUGGAGCCUUCCUGACUAAUGGGAAAUGAGGUGGCAACUUCCCCCAGGUCCCACCCUGUCUGACUCACUCCUCACUCACUGCUCUUCAAAGGGCCCGUCUCCAUCCUCUUUCUCAAGAAGAGAAACCAUGGAUGUUGUUUCUAAAAGUUCAGCCUGAAAACCACUGUCUGUAUGAACUCAAUUCCCAUGAUUUUUUGAGGCUUUAUAUGUUUCAGCACAAAUAUUAAAUGGAGGUAGGAUAGAGAAGCAGAAAUGGCAAUGAGGAAAAAAAUGGAAAAAGGUAUGCCUGCAUGUUCAUGAGUGAGUCAGCAGAAGAGUGGAGGGAAAAGACAAUAAGACACGGGGUAUCAGCUAUGAAUAGGAACUGAAGGUCCAGAUUGAAGGGCAACAGAACUGGCAGGUGGAGAUGGAAGCAGCCUCCUGGGGGCUGUGUCAAGCUUCUCCAUUCUCCAUCCUGUAAAGGACAAAGGACACUUCCUACACAGUACCCACACAGAAGAGCUGAUGGGAGGGUUAGCCUGUGAGGACGAGAGAGUGAAGAUGAGGGCAAAGGGUUUGCCAGUUAAUAAUUCUGCAUGUUUCUUGGGCCCCAGCCAGCUAGCUGGUAUCCUCUUCCAAAGCAGGCUGGGACCUUGGCUGAAGGAACCAGGGCUGGAAAGACAUCGGGCUGGCAGAGGGGAGAGACUGCAUGCAAACAUUCUUUGUAUCUUCUGCAAUUUGAGAGUUGGCCUGGAACCCUGAAAGUCAGGGCCAAUGUCUGAUCCAUCAGUGGGUAACCAGUGCCUACAUACUAUGGGUAUCAUUCACUGUUCAUUGAACUGAACAAAAGAAACUUAGGAACGGGGAAAGGGAUGUGAUAGAACCUGCAGGAAAAGCUCCGGAGAGAAAGGAGAGGCUUUUUGUUAGGGGGCAAACCAGGGGAUGCUAUCAAGAUGGAGGAAAGGGAGUUAGCAAGAUCCAGAAGACACGUGAGAAGGACCAAGAGGGGAAUGAGAAGCUUAUAAUUCUAUUAGUACUUUUUCUGGCAAGGAUGAAGCCAGCUGCAUUCCCUAUGUUCGAAUGUUUCCAUCCUGUCAGGUAAGUUCUAUGAUCACCUCUUAAUAGAUAAAAAAAAAACUGGAAUCAGAGGUUGAAGGCUUUGCUCAAGGUCACAGACCGGGUAAGGUGAAAGCAACACAGGUGUUUCAGGCUGAGGAAAAAGCACAGACAAAGGAAUGGAUAUAGGAAAACACAGGACAGGUAGAGAAUUGCAAGGGAUUCUGUUUGGCUAAAGCAACAGUCCCCAACCUUUUUGGCACCAGGGACCAGUUUCGUUUUGUGGAAGACAAUUUUUCCAAGGAUGGGGGCUUGUGGUGAUGUGGGGGGCAAGGGGCAGGGGGAUGGUUUCAGGAGGAAACUGUUCCACCUCAGAUCAUCAGGCAUUCAUUAGAUUCUCAUAAGGAGUGCACAGCCUAGAUCCCUUGCAUGCACAGUUCACAAUAGGGUUCCCACUCCUAUGAGAAUCUAAUGCUGCUGCUGACCUGUCAGAAGGCGGAGCUCAGGCAUUAAUGCUUGCUGACUUGCCCACCACUCACCUUCUGCUGUGCGGCCUGGUUCCUAACAGGUCACAGACCAGUACUGGUCCAUGGCCCAGGGGUUGGGGACCCUUGGGCUAAAGGAUAUGGCUAACGAAAGGCCUUCAUAUGAUAGAAGGUUAAUGAGUGGCCCCAGAUCAUGAAAUGUUUUGAAUUUUAAAAAAUGAGUUUACUUUAUAUUGGGGUGUCUCUGAAGAUUUUUUUUUUUUUUUUUGCGACAGAGUCUCACUCUGUCGCCCAGGCUGGAGUGCAGUGGUGCGAUCUUGGCUCACUGCAAGCUCCGCCUCCUGGGUUCACACCAUUCUCCUGCCUCAGCCUCCCGAGUAGCUGGGACUACAGGUGCUCGCCACCACACCCGGCUAAUUUUUUGUAUUUUCAGUAGAGACAGGGUUUCACUGUGUUAGCCAGGAUGGUCUCGAUCUCCUGACCUUGUGAUCCGCCCGCCUCGACCUCCCAAAGUGUUGGGAUUACAGGCGUGAGCCACCACGCCCGGCCCGUCUCUGAAGAUUUUAAGUGGCAGGCUGAUAUGAUCCCCACUGUAUUUUAAAAAGACAAACUUGGGGACGGGCAUAGUGGUUCACACUUGUAAUCCCAACAAUUUGGGAGGCCAAGGUGGGUGGAUCAAUUGAGGUCAGGAGUUAGAGACCAGCCUGGACCAACAUGGUGAAACCCAAUCUCUACUAAAAAUACAAAAUUAGGUGGGUGUGGUGGCGUGUGCCUGUAGUCCCAGCUACUUAGAAAGCUGAGGCAGGAGAAUCGCUUGAACCUGGGAGGUGGAGGUUGCAGUGAACCAAGAUCAUACCACUGCACUCCAGCCUGGGCGACAGAGCAAGACUGUCUCAGAAGAAAGAAAGAAAAAAAGACAAACUUGGCAACAGCAAGGUAUAUUAUCAAGAGGAAAGCAGAAGAAGGCAGGGAUAUCAGCUGGGAGCCAGCUCAGAGGUCUGGGUGUGACAUAACAAAGGCCUGACCUAGAAGAAUGGCAGUGAGAAGGAAGAAAAGGGGAUACAACAGAAAGAGGACCCAGAACUGACAGCAGAUGUCCAGAUGGAUAACUCAGGUGGGACAGGAUGAAGAAAAUGAAUGCAGUUUGGGACAUCCUGAGUUUGAGGUGAGAUGGCCCAUUCAACAAGCAAUCUAAAACACAAUACUGUGCAUUCAGGAGAAAGGACAGAGCUUGAGAAAAAAAUCUGAGGAUUCUCUAUACAGAGGUGAAACCACACAAAGUGGACUGGAGUGUGGUAGCUCUAGUUUUGGCUGUAUUCAGAAACUUUCCCAUCCCCUGCUUUCAUUUCCUUUGAGAAAUUCCCUACCCCAUUGGCUCAUUAAUGCUGGUAGUCUCCCCUACUUCCUCCCAGUCCAAGCUCCUAAUGGCACAUAAUCCAAGCAAAACCAGAGCUCUCCCAUGAGAUGAGUUCGAAUAAUGUAGAGUGGAGAAAUGCAGAGACAGAGUCCAGACAACAUUUGAGCCUCUGAGCCCACCUAGAGGCAUCCACAUAACCCAAAUACAGCUGGUUCUCUUUUUUUUUUUUUUUAUUAAGCCAGUUUAAUUGUAAUUUUGAUUAGGCUAGUUUAAUUGUAAUGUCUUGCAAUCAAAACAGUCUACUAGACCAUCACAUAAAAAUGAGAUUGCUCAGGAGAAAGUAAAAGAGACUAACAGUUACCACUUGAGUGUUGACUAUUUGCCUGAAGGGCCUUUUUAAGAAGCUUGGACUUUAUCUGGUAGAAAAUUAAGAGCUACCUAAAGAUUUAAAUUUAACUUUAAAUAUGUUUUGUUGAAGGUGCUCUUUGAAGUUGGUACUAUAAUCCCAUUCUAUAGAGCUGGAAACUGAGGUUCUUGUAAGUGAAGUAACUUUCUAAGGCCACACAAUGGAUAAGUGUUCAAACCAGGAUAUGAACUUGAAAAUAAAUAAACUGCAAUAGAACUAUGGGUGCUAGAAUGGAAGUAUACAGGGCACAGGAGAGGUACAGUUUAAGAAUGGUCAAGUGUACAGGGGAGGAAGUAGUAAAGACUUUACAGGAGUAGGUGACAUGUGAACUGGAAGGAUGAAUUGUUUAUCAGGUGAAUAAGGGGUUUGGAGCAGGAAAGAGAGAGGGUAUUCUGCGUAGGGCAGAGCAUGUAUAAGCCAUGGAGGUAUGAGGCAACACCUGACUCCCAGCUAUUUCCUUAUGGCUACAGCUGAGAGCACUUAUGGCAAAGUGGCAAGAGUCGUAGAGUAUGCCAUGACAAAACAAAGUCUGAAGGACUGGUGGUCAGUGUGGCGGGAAGAGAGGCAAGCAUGGCACCAAAGAGCUCCGGUUUUGAUCUCCAGUGAAUUACACACAGCCACCCACGAAGAACUGAGCCCGACCUAGCAAGCACAGACAAGCGAGGCAAGAAUUCAUCACAACUGCACAGAGAAAGCUAUGUGUGGUGAAGGGCCUCCUUUAGGGACUGACUGUAGAAAAACUAUGGAACUGAGUGGUUAGCUAGUCUAGACAGGGAAGAGAUACAGUUCAGAAGGCAUGAAAAAGAACAUUUCAGCAACCCUAUGAAAUAGCCAUUAUUAUCGACCCCAGGAAUAAGGAGGCAAAGGCAUAGAGAAGUGAACUAACUUGCCCAAGGCCACACAGCUGGUAAGUAGCACAGCUAGGAUUUGAACUGGGGCAGUCUGGCACGAAAACCUGCUUUUUAAAUCAAAAUGUUAUUUUAUACUACUUCUCCAAAGACAAAUCAUAAUAGUAAUAAUAGUAGCACUACCAUUUAUAGUGUUUAUGAUAUGGGCUAGAUGCUAUAGUAUGCCAGGCACACACAUUAUCUUGCCUAAGAUCACUCAGCUCUCAGGUGGAAGAGCUGGAUUCAAAGUUCAGGAUGCUUGAAUCUGGGAGACAAUAAAGUGCACCAGGAGCUAGAAUAAGUUUGUACAAGGUACAAAUGUGGAGCAUAAAAGAGGAGGUAAUUAAUCUUACCUGGUGGGAGUGGUAUUGAGUUGUGGGUUACUGGAAAACUUCACAACUUCACACAGGGGUGACUUUUUUUUUUCUUUUUUUUCUUUUUUUUUUUUGAGACAAGGUCUGGCUCUGUUGCCCAGGCUGGAGUGCGGCGGCACAACCACAGCUUACUGCAGCCUUGACCUCCCAGGCCCAAGCAAUCCUCUCACCUCAGCCUCCCGAAUGGCUGGGACCACAGGUGUGUGCCACCACACUUGGCUAAUUUUUUAGUAGAGACAGGGUCUUCGUGUGCUGUCCAGGCUGGUCUCGAACUCCUGGGCUCAUGCAGUCCUCACGCCUCAGCCUCCCAAAGUACUGGGAUGACAGGCGUGAACCACUGCACCGGCAAGAGUGGGGUGACUUGUGAGCUGAUUUUUGAAAGAUGAUUGGGUAUUCAUCAGACAGAAUGAUAGGGCAGUGUUCCAUGCAGAGGGAACAGUGGGAAUAAAGGAAUGGAGGUUUGAAAGAGCUGUCACAUUCAGGAAACUGCAAGCAAUGUUGAUGGCUUGGGAAUUGAGUGGGUGGCAUGACAAUAAGAAGGAGGCAGGGGGCUGCAUCACACAGAAUCUUACUUGCCUUUCCAGAAAAUCUGAGCUAUUUUUUAAGUUUUUCCAAUGAAGUAAAUGUAAUGGCCAAAAAGAGUAAAUAAAUAUCCCUAGGGAAUCUGGUGGCUUAGUCUGAAGCUGUUCAGACUAGUAGGAAUUCUUUGAAGACUAUUUUUUCUUAAUAAUGCAUGCAUGCUGGCUGGGUGUGGUGGCUCAUGCCUAUAAUCCCAGCAUGUUGGGAGGCUGAGGCAGGAGGAUCACUUGAGCUCAGGAGUUUGAGACCAGCUUGGGCAAUGUGGCAAAAGCAAUCUCUACCAAAAAUUAAAAAAUUAGCCUGGUAUGGUGGCGCACGCCUGUAGUCACAGCCACUUGGGGGCUGAGGUGGGAGGAUCACUUGAGCUGGGAGAUGGAGGUUGCAGUGAGCCAAGAUCGCACCACUGCACUCUAACCUGUAUGACGCAGUGAGACCGUGUCUCAAAAUAAAAUAAUAAUGCAUGCUAAA
Homo sapiens (human) is the source of this 10552-nucleotide long non-coding RNA. RefSeq lists it as uncharacterized. The record is from RefSeq and is a predicted model, not a curated record. The transcript has 2 exons. NCBI's taxonomy places the organism in Eukaryota, Metazoa, Chordata, Mammalia, Primates, Hominidae.